Molecule: non-coding RNA, 90 nt
Filed under: Pseudomonas sp. SJZ131
Lineage: Bacteria; Pseudomonadati; Pseudomonadota; Gammaproteobacteria; Pseudomonadales; Pseudomonadaceae
Source: RNAcentral
UGUAGGAGUGAGCCUGCUCGCGAUGGCUGCCUAACAUUCGGCAUCUCAGGCGCUUGGCAGACCGCUAUCGCGAGCAGGCUCACUCCUACA